AGGAAUAUAAGCAUUCAAUCAGUCAGCAUAACAGUAAAUCCAAGGAAGUUUGAAUAAAUAAACAACAUCAGGAGAAUUCAGAGAGCAUCAAACAAAAGAUCAGUUGUUUGUUUGUUUGUUUCUUCCAUUGAACUUCACACCUUUGUAAACUGUAAUAUGACAAACCAGACGACCACUUGCAUUGAAAAUUGGAGAAAUAUACGCAGAGGAACUACUUUAAACUCCCAGCAACUCUCAAUUUUGAACUUGGUUUUAAAAACCAAUCUAUUAAAAAAAGCGUGCCGGUCAUAGUAGCGGAAAUGCUUGGUAACGUGAGGUUCAAUAGGAAGGUUCAACCAUUAGUGCCAACUGCCAACUGCCAACUAAUCUAAUGACGAUACUCAAAACUGCCAAAAACUCGACUCCCACCAACUCCAACCUCAAUCCAACCCCAUUCAUGACCAUAAUUGUUCAAUAAUCCCAUAAAAUCAAUGAGUCCAAAGCUCCAAAAAUUGACCCCUCGACGAAGAACACGUGAGAUAUGAUCGACCUGCAACAAAUAACCUGAUUAAACUUAAUCCAUUAUCAGUCAAAUCCACACGGUACGGAAGUACUUCCACCAUAUCAUACGAUCACGUAUCACAAAACUAUCCAGCCGGCCGAACCAGCCACACUCCAUAAUGGGCUCUUCACCCUAGCUAGCUAGCUCUCUAUUCAAUAAGGAAAAGCCAAAAGGGGCCUUAGAUCACGGGGCUAUAAAGAAAGUUAGGAAGGGUACUGGACAGUACAAAAACUGUAUUUGACCGUUUAUGGUUGUUUGGUAGUUAAUAAUAUUCCACUGUGUGCCUUGUGAUUCUCUCUUUUCUUUUCUUUUCUUUGAAUGUGUGGCUGCUGUGUGUCAGUCUUGCCUCUGUAAUUCAAAGACUAGUUACCUUUAAAGGCUCAUUCCCAUGUGCCUUCUUACUGCUACCUUCAUCAUUUUGUUUUUACCCUUUUUCAUCUUUUUACUUGAUAAUAAAGUUUUUUAACCACUAGGAAUCACCACACCCCCACCACCUUAUCUUUUAACCUCCCUCAGUUAUACCUUGUAGGUGUGAGCAUUGAGUAGUUGGUAUAUGGCCAAAUUCUUGCUUUGAUACUUGAAUUCAGAGCAUUGGGUAACUCUUACUACCCGGUCGGAUAAUACGGGUGUCCAUAAGAUGUUUUGGCCAAUGCCGACGACUUCAGCAGCGAGGUAAUGUAAAUCGAUGAUCAAGAGCAGGUAAUGGUGUCUAAACCAGUAGGAACUGGGAAUUUCUCCACUGUUCUAGCCGCAUCCCCAUAUCUGCACACACACGUUAAGACCCUAACUUUUUUGAUGCGAACCCAAGAGGCUAACUAGGAAAUUCACGGCCAUUCAAAGAAACUUAUGUUCGAUAACAUUGUUCCAUAAUCAUAAAUGAAAAAGAGAGUGAAAGAUCUACAAAUAUUCAGAACACCGUAAAGGAUAGAAAUGAGGAUGAAUUUUGAAAAAUAGCGAUGGCCCCCUUCUCCAAAUUCUCCCCCAUUGCCAUAAUGCUAUGUCUUUAACCUCCUACGAUUCCACCAAAGGGUGUGAAAUCCUUAGUAAGAGCACUUCCUAGUACCUUCAAAAGGACAAGAAACCAUCCUUAGCUGUCUUUAUCACUCCUUUGUCUCUCCACCAAUAUUCUCCAAUCUUUCUCCUAAUUUCAGAGGUUAUCCAUAUAUAACAUUCGACCUAAUCUUCUAUUUGUGGCAACUGGCAACUACGACCACUGUCAGCCAUUAGUCCAUCCCUCCAUGAGGUCACUCUUCACCUCUAUUUUGCUUGGCUGUACUGACAACUGGAAUGCCGGCUAACUAACUAUACACACACCCCAUCAGGUCCUGUUAUGUACCGAUCCCGAAUUGUAAGUUUCGGAAUCGGUAGAGACUGUUUAUGCAGCAAAGACAGAGAAAGUCUCAACAAUGGAGAAGAAGAACAAAGGGCAUGGGAUGUUAAAACAAGCAGCAAGAAACACCAUAUGAUAUGUCAGCUAUCUGCAGAAGGCCCCAUGUGGUCCAACGCCACAAACGACGACCAACAACAUUCCCCUAAAGAGAGAGAGAGAGAGAGAGAGAGCUAAUAAAAAUCUAAACUUAAUAUGUCCACCACUUGUAUCAUUUUCCAUGCCUGGCUCCAUUUCAGAAGCUGAAGCUAUAACCAUGUUCUGAGGCUGAGAAAAAAGGUGGUCACCAUGCAAGAAAAAAAAAAGCUGAAAGAUUUGUUUGCUUGAUUUGUUCCUUUCAUCUUUUCUUUUUGUAUUUCAGCAUCUCUCCUUCAAGAAAGGCUGGCAGUUGGCAAACCAACUGAAACAGUGGUGUUUCGGUUGCUUAAUAUGGUUUCGGUAACUAAACCAAACCAUAACAAAUGUCCGAACCCUGAACCGGAAUGGUACCCCCUUUAUCAAUCAAGUGCCUGGUGUGCCCACCAAUUAUUCAUACUAUAAAUGUACAACCACCACCUCAUUUUGCUGAUAUAUUGGAAUGACAUUCAACUCAAAUGCAGAAUGCUUAAUCAUGUUUGUUCCCAAGUAGACUUAUCUAAACUUCACUAGCAAAAAGGCAAACAUUAAAAAUGUCACAUUUCCCAAUCAUCUAUAUGCAGCAAGGACAAUAAGCAUAGCCUAAAUGCUUUCGGCACAAUUCUGCAGAUAAUAAUACGCAAGUGGGUUUACGGAAGCAAAAUAGUACUACCGGGACAACGAUUCUAUAUCACGCUUACAGCUAACGAAGAGUACGAUCAAUUACCUCGGCAUUGUCGUGGAGAGAGGCUCUUCCAUUCCCACUAUGUGAAUAAGAUUGAUUGCAGGAAGAGAAUUGAAUGCAGGGAGGGGAAUAGAAAGGCCCACCAAUCUUUGCAGAAAACAACUGAGGUACUACUGCUGAGCCACAAGAGGAGCCUUAGGUAUGUAUUUUUUUCAUUAUAAGUUUGAAAGAGACCCUUGCCUGUUGGUCCAGCACAUGAAGGCCAUGUUACCUUUGCCUCUCCAGAAUCUCCCCCCCCC
RNAcentral lists this long non-coding RNA (3026 nucleotides) under Linum usitatissimum (flax). RNAcentral describes it as "long non-coding RNA (LUSI_LNC004391)". Lineage: Eukaryota; Viridiplantae; Streptophyta; Magnoliopsida; Malpighiales; Linaceae. The record is from RNAcentral.